AUUGAACGCUGGCGGCAGGCCUAACACAUGCAAGUCGAGCGGAUGAAGGGAGCCUGCUCCUGGAUUCAGCGGCGGACGGGUGAGUAAUGCCUAGGAAUCUGCCUGGUAGUGGGGGAUAACGUCCGGAAACGGGCGCUAAUACCGCAUACGUCCUGAGGGAGAAAGUGGGGGAUCUUCGGACCUCACGCUAUCAGAUGAGCCUAGGUCGGAUUAGCUAGUUGGUGGGGUAAAGGCCUACCAAGGCGACGAUCCGUAACUGGUCUGAGAGGAUGAUCAGUCACACUGGAACUGAGACACGGUCCAGACUCCUACGGGAGGCAGCAGUGGGGAAUAUUGGACAAUGGGCGAAAGCCUGAUCCAGCCAUGCCGCGUGUGUGAAGAAGGUCUUCGGAUUGUAAAGCACUUUAAGUUGGGAGGAGGGGCAGUAAGUUAAUACCUUGCUGUUUUGACGUUACCAACAGAAUAAGCACCGGCUAACUUCGUG
Molecule: ribosomal RNA, 484 nt
Filed under: uncultured bacterium
Lineage: Bacteria
Description: partial 16S ribosomal RNA
Rfam family: Bacterial small subunit ribosomal RNA
Source: RNAcentral